GAAGCAGAAGUAUGAGGAGUCCCAGUCAGAGCUGGAGUCUUCCCAGAAGGAGGCGCGCUCCCUGAGCACAGAGCUCUUCAAGCUCAAGAAUGCCUAUGAGGAGUCUCUGGAGCACCUGGAGACCUUCAAGCGGGAGAACAAGAACCUCCAGGAGGAGAUCUCAGACCUGACUGAACAGCUGGGAGAAGGGGGUAAAAAUGUGCACGAGCUGGAGAAGAUCCGCAAACAGCUGGAGGUGGAGAAGCUGGAACUGCAGUCAGCCCUGGAGGAGGCUGAGGCCUCCCUGGAGCAUGAGGAGGGCAAGAUCCUCCGAGCCCAGCUGGAGUUCAACCAGAUCAAGGCAGAGAUCGAAAGGAAGCUGGCAGAGAAGGACGAGGAGAUGGAGCAGGCCAAGCGCAACCACCUGCGGGUGGUGGACUCCCUGCAGACCUCCCUGGAUGCCGAGACGCGCAGCCGCAACGAGGCCCUGCGGGUGAAGAAGAAGAUGGAGGGCGACCUCAAUGAGAUGGAGAUCCAGCUCAGUCAGGCCAAUAGAAUAGCCUCAGAGGCCCAGAAGCACUUGAAGAACGCCCAAGCCCACUUGAAGGUAACAGGAUCCAGGCGUCUAGACGGUGGUGAGUCGGAGUAUGUACAGUGCCAGAAAGACGAAAAGGUCCACAACCACACCUCUCUGAGUAUACACUAUCUUGUCUGAUCUUGGAAGCUAAGAGGGCUGGGCCUGGUUAACGCUUGAAAAGGAGAUAGUAACGGACAGG
This 755-nucleotide long non-coding RNA is filed under the name Rattus norvegicus (Norway rat). RNAcentral describes it as "long non-coding RNA NONRATT010872". Lineage: Eukaryota; Metazoa; Chordata; Mammalia; Rodentia; Muridae. The record is from RNAcentral.